GGAUUGCCUCAGUAACGGCGAGUGAAGCGGCAACAGCUCAAAUUUGAAAUCUGGCCCUCUCAGGGUCCGAGUUGUAAUUUGUAGAAGAUGCUUUGGGUGUGGCUCCGGUCUAAGUUCCUUGGAACAGGACGUCAUAGAGGGUGAGAAUCCCGUAUGUGACUGGUUGCCUUCGCCCGUGUAAAGCUCUUUCGACGAGUCGAGUUGUUUGGGAAUGCAGCUCAAAAUGGGUGGUAAAUUUCAUCUAAAGCUAAAUAUUGGCCAGAGACCGAUAGCGCACAAGUAGAGUGAUCGAAAGAUGAAAAGCACUUUGGAAAGAGAGUUAAACAGUACGUGAAAUUGUUGAAAGGGAAGCGCUUGCAACCAGACUUGCACGCAGUUAAUCAUCUGGUGUUCUCACCGGUGCACUUUUCUGCGUUCAGGCCAGCAUCGGUUUAGGUGGUGGGAUAAAGGCCUUGGGAAUGUAGCUUCUCUCGGGGAGUGUUAUAGCCCUCGGCGCAAUGCCGCCUACCUGGACCGAGGACCGCGCUUCGGCUAGGAUGCUGGCGUAAUGGUUGUAAGCGACCCGUCUUGAAACACGGACCAAGGAGUCUAACAUCUAUGCGAGUGUUUGGGUGUCAAACCCAUACGCGUAAUGAAAGUGAACGGAGGUGAGAACCCUUAAGGGUGCAUCAUCGACCGAUCCUGAUGUCUUCGGAUGGAUUUGAGUAAGAGCAUAGCUGUUGGGACCCGAAAGAUGGUGAACUAUGCCUGAAUAGGGUGAAGCCAGAGGAAACUCUGGUGGAGGCUCGCAGCGGUUCUGACGUGCAAAUCGAUCGUCAAAUUUGGGUAUAGGGGCGAAAGACUAAUCGA
RNAcentral lists this ribosomal RNA (849 nucleotides) under Helotiales sp. RNAcentral describes it as "partial large subunit ribosomal RNA". It matches the Rfam family "Eukaryotic large subunit ribosomal RNA", at positions 72 to 938 of the family's 3401-position model. The record is from RNAcentral. Lineage: Eukaryota; Fungi; Ascomycota; Leotiomycetes; Helotiales.